This is a non-coding RNA of Pelodiscus sinensis (Chinese soft-shelled turtle), 811 nucleotides long. The record is from RefSeq and is a predicted model, not a curated record. NCBI's taxonomy places the organism in Eukaryota, Metazoa, Chordata, Testudines, Trionychidae.
CCAGUUGUGAUAUGAGACAUACCAAUGCAGAAGAAAAGAUGGUUCUUGUUUCCAAAAGACUUAGUCUGCGGCUCCUACUCCUAAAUUCAUCCGCAAAGGCUGGCCCUGGCCUUAGAGCCCUGAUCGGCAGGGGGAUGAGCAAAGAAGAGUACCUGGCAUCUCCCCCCGACUCCGAAGCCUCCUGGCUGGCUACAGAGUGGGUAGGUGUUCGCACACCGACCUCCUGCUUCCAGCUCACCUGCAAGGGGAUGUCGUCUCUGCCUUUUGAGGAGGGCCAGCAUGAGCUGCUGGAGAAGGUGCAAGCUGCUGCUGCAGGCUGAGAGUCCAAGCCCUGGGAUAGGGAACAGACCCAUGGACUGGCAUGCCUGUGCCCACUGAGAGUCUGCACCACAGAGCUGUCAUUUGGCGUCAUCGAGCAGGUUUCCACUUGUGUGCUGAUGUGAUGCAAAUGUAUUCUAGGACAGAUGCCAGCAAGCCGCAGGCUUUAUCUCUGUUGCCAUGAUUUUCUUGGACAUCAGCACCAGGAUGUCAGUUCUGGACAGGUAACCGGAGUGUCAUGCUAAAUGCAAGGUGGGGCUAUGGGAUAGCAACAGUCGAAGCAAUCACCUAAAAUGAAGAGAGGAGAAGUACAGUCCAAACUGGUGUAAUGAGCCAUAAAACCAGGGUGUCUGCUGCGACCACCAGCCCUAAUGCUUUGCAAAGGUAUCAACGGAAUCUCCCAGGCUCAUGUCUUUGAAGGUUGUGAAUGUGCUGAGAAGCUGUUGUCCUUUGAGGAUGAGGACUGAUGCAUCAGACACACAGCAAUCGCUUG